Long non-coding RNA from Brachypodium distachyon (stiff brome), 2175 nucleotides. RefSeq lists it as uncharacterized. The transcript is spliced from 2 exons. The record is from RefSeq and is a predicted model, not a curated record. Lineage: Eukaryota; Viridiplantae; Streptophyta; Magnoliopsida; Poales; Poaceae.
AAGAGGGAUGAGGAAACAGAGAAAAGAGAAGAAAGAAGUAGAGAAGAGGGAGGAGGGAGGGGAUCAUCUGCUUUUGGACUUCGUUGAAUAAAUUUUGACAAUAGUGGAUAUGCUUUUGCACAAAUAUCACCUUGCUUUUGAUCAUCUUCUCAAUGGGGUGUUUGGCCUUAAUAAUUCUCAAUACUAAAGCCGAAUAGUUUUGCGUUGCGUGAGCUAGCCACGUCACGACCGCCGUUUGCGUUUUUUCUCCAUCGCGCUGGUUAGAUGGACAUUUGAUGUGUUGACCCGGCUCUGUUUUUAAUUCGUUUUUGCUGCUGUUCGAGUAAAACUUCUGUAGGUUGCAGCUUUGGAAAUUCCCCCAAUUUUUGCUUGAGUUGGUGGGUUUCUCUUGGCUUUGUUUCGCUCUACAAGUUUUUUUCCCCUUUCCUUGUCUGAUUUGCUCGGCGGAGCGGCAUGUGCUUGGAUUGUCGCUGAGCUUGUUCUCUUCCAUGCCUCCCCUACAGAACGUCAUUGCUGCUCCACUCAGGCUACCUGCACUGAUUUUGUUAGUUUGCCAGGUUGUCCAGGCAACAGAUUAAUUCAUUAAUGUCCGGCAUUCUGUUGACAUAGGGGCAGAUUUUGUGCCCCAAUUUGGGGGCAUGAUUUAGUGGCCUGCUGUUUUUUCCUCAGGUAGAAUAGCUUAAAUGUCGAUGCAUUUUCAAUACGAGCACAUCAGUCUUCUCAUGAAUAAAGGCAAUUGUGUUGAAAUAAGAAAGUUUAUGGCAAACGAUUUCUUAAGACCGAUAAAUUCCAAUGAUUUUACAUGACAUAAGUAUUUUUUUUAAUACCGAUAAGUUUGAACUAGAUGCCCUAAUAGGUAUGAAGUAUUUGACUACUUAGACAUAGUAGGAGGUGUCAGAAUUUUAAAUGUCAUAGAUGAGCGAUUCGACAAGUCCCAAUAGUUAUAUGAGGAGUUAAUGGAAACAGUGUGUUAAGACUCAGAGUUAUAUACGUUUAAUUGCUCGAUGAGAAACCAAUAUACCCUAAUAAUGUACAAUGAUAAUCUCUAAGUUCAUGAAUACUAUGUUUACUGCCAAAUAUUAGAUAAGAUAUUUGCUGUGAACUGAACACAGUUAACUAACACUGGCAGGUAUCAGUAUCACCAAGAAACUUCCAUUUUACAAGGUUAGUCAAAUGAUAGUGAUGAGGCGCCUGUUGUGAAGCUCAUGAAAAGGUCAAAAUUCAGCUAUGAGCAAGCGUGGCACAGCUUAACUCCAUGAUAGAUCUUGGAAGUGACGUUCAAGUGUGUGCGUCCGGAGCUCUUCUUGCUAUAUUAGAUGACGAGAGGCUUAUUUGUAUCCUUGAGCAAAUGGAAGGCAGAACAUCCGUCAAGAUUGUUCUGUUGCACAAAACUCAUUUUAUCCUUUGAUCUGUGAUGAUAUCAGAUGAACAUAACGUACUGAUGUGCUGAAUUUUAAAUUACAUCUUCCCCCAUGAUACUUUAUUUUAGAUCCAACAUAUGUAGCUUUACUGCACUUUAGAAGUAGAUGCACUGUAGGGUAUUGCUAUUUCAAAUGUAUAAUUAACAAAAAAAAUCUCGAAAAGCAUAUGUCAUUUUCAUCAAGGGGGAAAUUAACAAUUUUUUGUAUGGUACCGAAGGCAUUCUUUAAUGGGUGUUUUUUUUCAUAAAAUUUUAAAUGUUUACACUGUAUGCCUUGACUUCAUCAGAGACAGGUUCCAGAAACUUGAUGCAAGUGCUCAUGAGGCACUACAGGUUUUUCAAGUAGAUAGCUAAAGAAGGGUAAGAACUAUACCCUGGUUCCAGUUUGUGAUAGUUAUAAAAAGUUGCAGGUUUUCAGUUUAUGGUACGCUCAACAAGGUAAACAAGCAUUUUUCUUUCCUUCUCUUAUUUUCUGGAAGUUCACUGGUUUGUCUUGAGCGUAGUGUAUGCCACCGCUGUGAAGACGCUUGUUGAGGUUUGUUCUCUACCUUUGAUAGUUAUCUCCGAAACAAGAAUAAUCAAGCUUUUUCCUAACUAUUUUUAAGCUUCAUUUUAGGGGAUGGUUCUUGCGUCCCAUAAUUCAUAUUGAGGUCAUAGUGUCAUACAUGAUCGUCUCAACACUGUCCUUUUUAACAAUGUAAAAUUCCCAUCCAUUCUGACUCAUGACGCCAAAAUGCCAUUUUCUUUUACAGCAA